ACGAGAAAGUGGAGCAAUCCAUGAGUACAGUGGCGUACGGGUGAGUAACACGUGACUAACCUACCCUCGAGUGGGGAAUAACUUCGGGAAACCGAGGCUAAUACCGCAUAACAUCUUCUGGUUGAGAUACCGGUUGAUCAAAGCAGCAAUGGGCUUGAGGAGGGGGUCGCGGCUGAUUACCUAGUUGGUGGGGUAACGGCCCACCAAGGCGAUGAUCAGUAUCCGGCCUGAGAGGGCGCACGGCCACACUGGAACUGAAACACGGUCCAGACUCCUACGGGAGGCAGCAGUGGGGAAUUUUGCGCAAUGGGGGAAACCCUGACGCAGCAACGCCGCGUGGAGGAUGAAGUCCCUUGGGACGUAAACUCCUUUCGAUCGGGACGAUUAUGACGGUACCGGAAGAAGAAGCCCCGGCUAACUUCGUGCCAGCAGCCGCGGUAAUACGAGGGGGGCAAGCGUUGUUCGGAAUUAUUGGGCGUAAAGGGCGCGUAUGCGGUGCGGUAAGUCUGAUGUGAAAUCUCCGGGCUCAACUCGGAGUCUGCAUCAGAAACUGCCGUGCUU
Molecule: ribosomal RNA, 561 nt
Filed under: uncultured bacterium
Lineage: Bacteria
Description: bacterial SSU rRNA
Rfam family: Bacterial small subunit ribosomal RNA
Source: RNAcentral